CCUACGGGAGGCAGCAGUGAGGAAUAUUGGUCAAUGGGCGCUACCCUGAACCAGCCACGUCGCGUGAAGGAUGACUGCCCUAUGGGUUUUAAACUUCUUUUAUAUGGGCAUAAAUUGCAGUAUGUAUACUGCUUUGCAUGUCCCUUAUGAAUAAGGAUCGGCUAACUCUGCGUCAGCAGCCGUGGUUAUACGGAGGUGCCGAGCGUUAUCCGGAUUUAUGGGGUGUAAUGGGAGCGUAGGCGGGUUGUUAAGUUAGUUGUGAAAUCUUUCGGUUCAACCGGAGAAUUGCAGUUGAUAAUGGCAGCCUAGAGUGCAGGAGAGGUAGACGGAAUUCGUGGUGUAGCGGUGAAAUGCUUAGAGAUCACGAAGAACGCCAGUGGCGAAGG
This 386-nucleotide ribosomal RNA is filed under the name uncultured bacterium. Its description in RNAcentral is "partial 16S ribosomal RNA". It matches the Rfam family "Bacterial small subunit ribosomal RNA", at positions 338 to 721 of the family's 1533-position model. The record is from RNAcentral.